Molecule: long non-coding RNA, 250 nt
Organism: Panicum virgatum (switchgrass)
Lineage: Eukaryota; Viridiplantae; Streptophyta; Magnoliopsida; Poales; Poaceae
Exons: 2
Source: RefSeq, a predicted model, not a curated record
CCCUGUGCAAAAGAAAUUGAAGAUGAACUGAGGGUGAGAUUCCAACAAAAGAAGACUGCAGACUCUCUUUUUUUUUUGGAACGAAAAGAAGACUGCAGACUCCUGGAGGAAACAAAGUAGCACCACGAGAAAGGACUGAUGAUGCAAUAAAAAAUAUUCUCACCAGUGAAGAAAGCAAAAUACAUCAGGCGAUAUCAGACAGAACCAGCAAGAAAAAAGGAUUGAAAAAGCAAUUAGAACGAGGAUUGAG